RNAcentral lists this ribosomal RNA (295 nucleotides) under uncultured bacterium. RNAcentral's name for it is "partial 16S ribosomal RNA". It matches the Rfam family "Bacterial small subunit ribosomal RNA", at positions 44 to 334 of the family's 1533-position model. The record is from RNAcentral.
GCGCUUAACACAUGCAAGUCGAGCGAGAACCGGUCCUUCGGGACCGGGGACAGCGGCGAACGGGUGAGUAACACGUGGGUAAUCAACCCUGACACUGGGAUAGCCCGGGGAAACCCGGAUUAAUACCGGAUGCCCAACAGCCCCUCGGGGCGGUUGGAAAAGGUAGCUUCGGCCUCCGGUCAGGCACGAGCCCGCGGCGGAUUAGCUUGUUGGUGGGGUAACGGCUCACCAAUACGACGAUCCGUAGCUGGUCUGAGAGGACGAUCAGUCACACUGGGACUGAGAUACGGCCCAG